Molecule: long non-coding RNA, 1586 nt
Organism: Oncorhynchus mykiss (rainbow trout)
Lineage: Eukaryota; Metazoa; Chordata; Actinopteri; Salmoniformes; Salmonidae
Source: RefSeq, a predicted model, not a curated record
AUGUAGAGCACUUGUCUUAUCACACAGGCAAGUAGUCCUUCCAAGUCCAAUCAGACUUCGGUAGCAUUUUCUGCCAUCUUGCGUGAGUUAUCUGUGAAAGAGACAAAAAUUAAAUAAUUUGCAGGCCUACGUUUCAACAAUUGGAAAUUCCCAUCGAUUUGAUGAUGUCAUUCAUUACACACAUGCUUUGAAGCAAGAGAGCGCUGCGAUGCAUCAUGACAUUGCCGUCUGAUAUCAAGAGGAGAGUAACGUAUUUACCUCGACUGUUUUAAAGAAAACUUGAGGAAUAUCUAAAGCCUGUGUCGUCAUAACAAGGAAAGUCUGUCUUCCACGCCAACCUUGGAUCGGGAGUUAAACUACUCUGCACAAGUUGAAGUUUAAAAUCGGCAGGCAUAUUGUGACGCUGCGGUUGUCCAACCCAAGACCACGUCCAUUUCACUGGAGAAGCUAUGAUGACAGACGUCUUGAAGGUGUUUUUUAUUGGGACAGCGUUCUUCACUGUCCUCGCCGCGCUGAUGGGAAUGGUGGAUUCAUUUGGUGGUCUCAUGUAUGUCCAAGACGCGGAUCCUGCAGAGUAUUUACAGUUGGACAGCAGUACUGACAUACGGAUGUCUUCAACCCAUUCGAGAGGUUCAGGGAGUACCAAACGCAUUGGACCAUGAUGAGGACGUCAUGUGGAGUAGAAUUAACACGAACAGGCUUGGUUUAUGUUAUGUUUUCGUGUGUCAAUUACUGCUUGCACUGUACAAUGUGUACACUGAUUUUUACAAUAACAUUAUUGAGUAUUUUAUCAUGGUUCCUUUCAGUUCCACUAGUUGGUGUCCCACUCCCACUGGGCAAAAACUGGUUGAAUCAGCGCUGUUUCCACGUUAUUUCAACCCCUGACAAAUCUAUGUGAUGACGUUGAAUGAGUGGAAAACUGAUUGGAUUUGCAAAAAGUCAUCAACGUAUGGGCACUCUGUCUCUUUUUUUAACAUGAAUCCAAUGACAUGGUGAUAUUUUUUGUUGAAUUGUGCAAUUCAGAACUAGACGUGUAACUGACGUCUGUGCGCAGUGGGGUUUGAUUUAUACAGGUCACACGGGUUUGAUGAGUUUAACUUGUUUUUCACAUUUGAAGAACACCCUAGUUGAUGUUUAUAGUAGGCUAUUACUAAAGUACUAGGUCAUAUUGACAGCUAUUAUUAUGUAUUUAUAUCCACUAUAUACUAUACUAAUACUUACUUGGUAGGACAGCAGGUAGAGCGUUGGGGCUGUAACUGAAAGAUCGCAGGUUUGAAUCCCCGAGCUGACUAGGGGGAAAAAUCUGUCUGUGCCCUUGAGCAAGUUACUUAAUUUAGCAAACGCUAAAUCGCUCUGGAUGGGAGCGUCUGCUAAAUGACAAAAAUGUACUAAUCUGUAUACAUGGUAUUUGCCUAUAUCGUGUAGGCUAUUUGUUGUAUAUUGAAGAUCACAUCAUGUGUAAAAGAAAAAGGGCUACAUUAUGCACUAAUUGACUCUUCAUCAUGCACUGUAAUAUUGUGUCAUAAAGAAAGUUGUAAAGAAUAAACACUUUUAUAGGCUAUUGUCAAUAAAAUGAAUAGACACUA